UCUCACACCUUCAUCCUUUGACCAGUAUUAGAGCUUUACGAUACUGUAGAGAGAGAAACCAAUUAAAAGAUAUAUAAAAGAAAGAGAAGAAAACCCUAUUCUUGCUCCCAUGCAAAGACUGAAAGCACAUUUCAUGUUUCAGGGACUCAUGUCCCAGACUGCCGGGAUGUUCUGACACUCUUGUGUAUAAUAUAUAAUGCCAGACCUUGGGAAUUGGAAAUGUCAGCAUUUGUCAUCUUAUUUACCUUUGCGGAGAAUCGUUUUCCCAGCCGACAUUGUCGGAGGCCAAAUAGAACACACUCCCGGCUCCUCAGAAGUAUUGCCUUAUUAAUCAUGUAUCUUAAUUUGCUAGCGUCCCCAUGUUGCUCUUUUCUGCUUAUGAGGUUAACGUGUGUUUGUGUACAGUUUGCAACACAUUGCAUUAAUAUGCCGCUGUGAUUCUGGACCGAGUUAGCGCAGCACAAUGAUUAAAACCGUCCUCAUCAGCAAGUAAUACACCAGGGGAUGCCAAAGUCAUUAAAAGCUCUAAUACUCUAUAAUUUCCUCCAGAUAAUCAAACUGAAUAAUGGAGUGGUGGUAAAUGCCUUGGGCUGUGCUCUUAUUAAUCAGCUACUGAGGGCAUGUAUGUUUGUGUGUGUUUGUGUGUGCAUGUCUGCAGCUCUUCAUGCAUGUCACAUAACAGACAGCUAAAUAGGGAAUCUUCUCUUCUCAGAUGAAUCACACACUUCUAUUCCUCACAGCUACCUUUGAUCCGGGCUGACGUCCACACUUUCCUCGAUCUUCGUUUUUUCACAAUCGCAUUUAACCUCAGCUAACCCCUGUGCUGCUUCACUUCCGCUCACAACUGGCCCAGCCUGCUCCGUUUGCCUCCUAACAUGAUCGGUGGUGGAUAACCGAGCAGUAAGCUCCAUUAGCUGGCCAUCAAAAUUUGAAACCCAUCCAAUUUCAUCUCAGAACAUUGUAUCCUAAGCUUCAAGGAUCAUUUUCUUAUUACUAUUUAAAGUCAGUUCAAGGCAUCAGAUUGAGGAGAACAAAACGACAGAGAAUUGAUUUUACUAAACUAAUUGGGUCAGAGAGGCUUAGUAAAAUGUGCUUUGUGCUUUAAAGACCCGUUUCCAAUUGAAGAUGGAGCUGUUAUCACUACACAUGACCAGUAAAAGGUCCAAGCUUUCUGCAGGCCCUACAGGGAAAUAGUCCGGUGAGAGCAUGAUACCACCAACUGAAACAGCUACUGUACAUAUCCUAUAGAAAGCUGCUAACAAUGAUCUGUUUGGGCAUGUAUUUUCCACACUAAUUGAUUGGAUUGAGGCAUUUCUACAGUAUUUACAGAUGUCUGUCUACUAAUCUAGUCUAGAAGUAACAAACACGUGAACGAACACAUCGAAACAGAUGUGCCUGAUUUUUUUAAAUCUUACAUAGGUGGAAAAAUGCAGUCCUUGAGAUUUGUUUUAUGUGGGAGUUAAAGGUCAGGUCCUGAUCAAAGAUAACUCUGAGAUUAUUUAUGGUGGUACUGGAUGCCAGGGCCAUGCCAUCUACAGAAACUAUAUAAUUAGAUCAUUCAUUUCUGAGGAGUUUUGGGCCGAGUAAAAUAACUUCAGUUUUGUCUGAGUUUAACAUCAGGAAGUUGCAGGUCAUCCAUGUUUUUAUGUCUCUAAGACAUGCUUGGAGCGAGCUCGUUGGUUUACUCCUCACAGAGAGCUCUACACAGCCUGUGAAAACAUUUGGAGGAUGUCUUUUGUGGCUCUGGAGGGGCCGAAAUCAGAAUAAAUUACGUCGAUGAUGUCAUCAGAAUUAUCUUUGAGACAAACAUUUUUAGGCAGGAAGGUUUCUGAUAAAAGAUUAGUUGCCAUAAGAGUGGAUUUUUUUGAGUUUGAUCCUUAGUAUGGCACUAAAGAUAUACCAUAUACCAACAUAACAUUUUGAUUUUUUCCAUUCUUUUUUAAUCGUUCCUCAAACUUGCAAAACUGAAAUUGCUGAAGUGCCCUUUAAAAAAAAAGCUUUUGUCCUUUCUGUCUGAAUAUGGUGAAUUGAUCACUGAAUAAAUGGGUAUUUUUAAUCAUCUGAUUUGGCUCUAGUAUCUGGUUGCCACUGGAUAACAAUGAUGCUAUUUGGCAUUUUAAGCCAAAAAAUUUAUGCUAAACCCUGUUGGUGUCAACAAACCCAGUGAUGUCAUCGAUGCUGAGAAGCUCUAUGGUUGUCUAGUCCAAGCAAAGCCUCCUAUGUAUGCGAGCCAGGCUCCUAGUGAUAGGAUUUCACUCUGUUGCACAGCCCGGACCGUUGGCGAAGUGCAGUGACAGUAGGAGUAACUAGUGUCAGGAGGAUAGUGUGAAGUGGAAAAUGUCAUUGCUAUUUUAAAAAGAGUCAAUCUAUCAAAGUCUAAAUGGCGCAAAACAGAAUAAUCAUAGCUGGGUAUUUCACCUUUCUUGUCUUUUUGGUAUAACAACUCAGGCAGAUUUUGGCAGUGAUCCGUGGGUACAUGAGAAAAGAUUGCAGUAAGGCAUUUAACCCUUGUGUUGCCUUCGGGUCAUUUUGACCCGAUUCAAUAUUUAACCCUCCUGUCGCCUUCGGGUCAAUUUGACCCGAUUCAAUGUUUAAUGUCGGUGUUCUUUCGGGAGUCAACAAACAAACAUAAAGUACCUCACACUUAAACUUGGAAAACAAUAUUAAUUCUAAUAAUUUUCUGGAGAUUUUAAUAGCUGGGGUCAUAUUGACCUCAAGGGUAAAAUAUGUUAGUAAAUAUAAAGGUAACAGGAGGGUUAAACAUUGAAUCGGGUCAUAUUGACCCGAAGGCGACAGGAGGGUGAAACAUUGAAUCGGGUCAAAUUGACCCGAAGGCAACACAAGGGUUAAGAGCCAUGCAUUCUCUCUGAUCCUCUGGGAUAGGGACACAUGUUAGCCUUAGUUACUGUGACAUCAGUGAAGUGUUGGAGUGAGAUUGUUUCAUUUCAGGUGGAGCUCAAAGGAAACUAGGUUUAUAGGUAUAAGUAGUGAGUGGAAGCCUGAAGUUCAGUUACUUCCCCCACACUCCACCUUCAAGGAUAGACCUGGUCAAACCUUUCUCUGACAUGUUUUAGCAGCUGCACAAUUUGCUGCCUCAACCCAGACACCACCUCUGUGGAAAGUGAACUUUGUGGGGCUUGCGCUACAUCUGAUAAGAUAAUCUAAUUCUUGGAACAAAUGUAAGAGGGCGGUUUGCCAGGGCCUGUCGAAGAAAAGAGAACUUGAUAGAGAACUGAGGAUGACAGGCAUUAGGAAAUUAAUUCCCAUUUUCGAAACGCUUUGUGUAUUUGGGAUGCCUUGUCAAUGCAUAAGUGGAGGAUUAUGGCCUAUAGGUCAUGGUGGUGCAGGAUUCUUUCCAAGCAGUGAGUUAUCCUUGCAGCCUCUGAAACGAAGAAGAAAUGGGCCUUAGGGAAAGAGCAAAAGAACAGCUUUUAUAUAACAAGUUUUAGCCUGGAUAGAAGUGGAAAGCAUGUAUCUACCAGUGUAGUUUAAUAAAGAAACUAGAGGAGGAUAAAUAGCAGGAUAAAGGGAUGACAAACUCUGGUCUGUCUGCAUGCUCUACAAUACAUGUAUUUAACAAUUAUGAUGUUAAAUUUUAUUUCUUACUGUAUCUGAAGAGAAAAGAAACAAUAGCAUGCUGUCACCUUUACCUCGCGAGUGUGACAAGAGCCGUCUCUCCUUCAGAUCUGAAGACAAAGGGCACAAGAUAGCAAUAUUUGCCAUCUGUUACAGAAAGGAAAAGUACAAGUCUUUUCCACACAAGCACUACCAAUCACAUCUGUGUCUUAGGAGAGAGGUGUUGCCCGGGGCAAAAGAACAGGGGAUAGAAGGAAAGAAACACGGGGCAUGAAGCAAAGACAGCAGGAGAGACGAGACAUCAAUGCAGGAGAAGUGGGUGUUGAGUAGAGGAGAAUCCCAGGGUGACCACCUACUCUGAAUACUGAUUGAACAAACUGGAAAUCGUCUGGCGACUUAACCGAGAGGAUAUAUUGAGGUCUGAAAGAAGAACAAACUAUAUUUUGUAUUCACUCUAUCACUUCUAAGGCAAGCACCAAUGGCCACAGCACAAACAAUGUGUUCAUGGACUGAAUCUUAACCAGUUACCUCAUAAACAUUGCUUGUGCAACUGCAUGGAAAUGUAGAAAGUGGAAUUCAUAAAAAACCUAAAUGGCAAACUUAGACUUUUGUAGCAUUCUGUAACUCAAAUGUAAGGAUUUACCCAUUUACACUGUAUGCUUCUUGUGCAGAUCUUAUCUUUUAAAAAAAGCUAUGUAUGAAUGCAUCCAGAUUGAAAUCGAGAAGUGCUUUGAGACUAAAUGAAGCCAGAUAUUGAAAAGGUUUAAAUACAUCUGUCUACAAGACACAUAUGUUUACUCCUCCCAUAGACUAACUAUGUCACCUAGUAGUCCAGAGACAUAGAAAAACUGCCACCACCUCCCUUUAGACUGAAGAAGGGCCUCGGAACAGCUGGAUGACAAAAAGGGGGGUUGCAUUCAGAUAUAUGAUCUGACCAACAGAGAAUCAAGCCGGCCGUCCUUUAAAAGCUGAGUGAGCGUGCUCACUAGUUGCUCUGAAGGAGUUCCAAGGUUCAGUGGCUCAUCUUGGAGAGACUGUUCAUAGAACAACUGUUAUGGGAAGGAGGAAGUCACUCGCAAAAACUCAGAUGACAUCAAUGGUGCAAUUUGCCAGAAGGCCCAUGGGAGACUCUGGAAGUUCUGUGGUCUCAUCAGACCGACUGAGCUGAAAGAAGUUUUGUUUUCCAGCAAGUAAAAGAGCCUAAAGAAGCCAACACAGUACAGAGAUGGCUUCAAAACCAUAACACCAUUGUAAAUCCCUGGCACUUUAAGUUGUUCAUCUCGUACAUGAGUGCUUUCUUUGCUGUUUUCUUUUUGCAGAUGACCAUCAGGACACACAAGUAGCCAACAUACGCCAUCGCUUUAUUCAUGCGAACAGAGGCCAGGCGUCCAUGUAAACAGCUUAACCCACUGCAAGUAACCCUAGCUGGAGUCUGGCCAACUAGUAAAUGUGAUCACUUCAGUAAACAUGAGUCAGUUGUCAAGUGUGAAAUCCAGACACAUGUGGCACACAUGACUGAACACACAGAAACCCUAAGAGCUACUGCGCCGAUGCUCCAGCCGGGCCAGUCCAGCACUGUUAUUGUGUCCGUGGCCGGGGGAAGCUCUCAGCUCGCUGGCCUGCUCCUGCUCCCAGCAGAGUGCUGCGUGUUAAGCAGAAAGCUACUGGAGGAUGAAUAAACCCAGGACUCCCUGCAGGCUGUUGCUUAUUAAAUGGUCCCUUAAAGCCCCCGACCUUUCACAUCUCUGCAGCACACGACGCGGAGCACGGCGAGAACAGAACAGAGCAAAUGGCCUGUGAAGAAUAAAAUUGUUGUCAAGAUCUGGAGUUUUCAUGUCUUGUUUUGAAGUCCCUGUCUCGUUUCCUCUAUUUCCCUGCACUUCCUUCCCUGUGAUUGUCUGUGUUGUUCCUGAUUAUUUCGUCCUGUGUGAAUAUCUAGCCCCGCCCUCAUUGUUUCCACCUGUGUCUUGUUCCCCAGUGUAUUUAGUCUGUGUCUACUGCUUGUUCGUCGUCAGAUCGUCUUUGUUUCCGUUCCGCUGCCAGACUGUGGUUCUGCUCGGCUUUAUUAAAGACCUUUGUUAAUAAAUCUAAACCUGAAUCUGA
Long non-coding RNA from Pseudoliparis swirei, 5679 nucleotides. RefSeq lists it as uncharacterized. The transcript has 2 exons. Lineage: Eukaryota; Metazoa; Chordata; Actinopteri; Perciformes; Liparidae. The record is from RefSeq and is a predicted model, not a curated record.